GACGAACGCUGGCGGCGUGCUUAACACAUGCAAGUCGAACGGAAAGGCCCUGCUUUUGUGGGGUGCUCGAGUGGCGAACGGGUGAGUAACACGUGAGUAACCUGCCCUUGACUUUGGGAUAACUUCAGGAAACUGGGGCUAAUACCGGAUAGGAGCUCCUGCUGCAUGGUGGGGGUUGGAAAGUUUCGGCGGUUGGGGAUGGACUCGCGGCUUAUCAGCUUGUUGGUGGGGUAGUGGCUUACCAAGGCUUUGACGGGUAGCCGGCCUGAGAGGGUGACCGGCCACAUUGGGACUAAGAUACGGCCCAGACUCCUACGGGAGACAGCAGUGGGGAAUAAUACACAAUGGGCGGAAGCCUGAUGCAGCAACGCCGCGUGCGGGAUGACGGCCUUCGUGUUGUAAACCGCUUUCGCCUGUGACGAAGCGUGAGUGACGGUAAUGGGUAAAGAAGCACCGGCUAACUACGUG
This 468-nucleotide ribosomal RNA is filed under the name uncultured bacterium. RNAcentral describes it as "partial 16S ribosomal RNA". It matches the Rfam family "Bacterial small subunit ribosomal RNA", at positions 28 to 507 of the family's 1533-position model. The record is from RNAcentral.